UGACAAAGUUUAACGGCCGCGGUACCCUAACCGUGCGAAGGUAGCAUAAUCACUUGUUCUUUAAAUAGGGACUAGUAUCAACGGCAUCACGAGGGUUACACUGUCUCCUUUCCCCAAUCAGUGAAACUGAUCUCCCCGUGAAGAAGCGGGGAUAUAACUAUAAGACGAGAAGACCCCAUGGAGCUUUAAGCUCAACAGCACCUCUAUACAAAUAUACCCCCACAACCCACGAGCCCUGUUUGUUAGCUUUAGGUUGGGGUGACCGCGGAGUAUAAUACAACCUCCACGACGAAUAGGCCUAAAACCUUUAUCCAAGAGCCACUGCUCUAAGAAUCAUAAAAUUGACGUAAAAUGAUCCGAUUUUCGAUCAACGAACCAAGUUACCCUGGGGAUAACAGCGCAAUCCAUUUCAAGAGCCCCUAU
This 423-nucleotide ribosomal RNA is filed under the name Tomopterna ahli. RNAcentral describes it as "partial large subunit ribosomal RNA". It matches the Rfam family "Bacterial large subunit ribosomal RNA", at positions 1910 to 2505 of the family's 2925-position model. Lineage: Eukaryota; Metazoa; Chordata; Amphibia; Anura; Pyxicephalidae. The record is from RNAcentral.